This 81-nucleotide transfer RNA is filed under the name Photorhabdus temperata subsp. temperata M1021. RNAcentral's name for it is "tRNA-Tyr". It matches the Rfam family "tRNA". Rfam says of the family: Transfer RNA (tRNA) molecules are approximately 80 nucleotides in length. Their secondary structure includes four short double-helical elements and three loops (D, anti-codon, and T loops). Further hydrogen bonds mediate the characteristic L-shaped molecular structure. tRNAs have two regions of fundamental functional importance: the anti-codon, which is responsible for specific mRNA codon recognition, and the 3' end, to which the tRNAs corresponding amino acid is attached (by aminoacyl-tRNA synthetases). tRNAs cope with the degeneracy of the genetic code in two manners: having more than one tRNA (with a specific anti-codon) for a particular amino acid; and 'wobble' base-pairing, i.e. permitting non-standard base-pairing at the 3rd anti-codon position. Lineage: Bacteria; Pseudomonadati; Pseudomonadota; Gammaproteobacteria; Enterobacterales; Morganellaceae. The record is from RNAcentral.
GGUGGGGUUCCCGAGCGGCCAAAGGGAGCAGACUGUAAAUCUGCCGUCACAGACUUCGAAGGUUCGAAUCCUCCCACACAA